CGGGGAAUAUUGCACAAUGGGCGAAAGCCUGAUGCAGCAACGCCGCGUGAGCGAUGAAGGCCUUCGGGUUGUAAAGCACUUUUAGAGGGAAUGAGGAAGGACAGUACCCUCAGAAUAAGCCUCGGCUAACUACGUGCCAGCAGCCGCGGUAAUACGUAGGAGGCGAGCGUUAUCCGGAUUUACUGGGCGUAAAGCGCGUGUAGGUGGUUCUGUAAGUAGGGCGUGAAAGCUCCUGGCUCAACUGGGAGAGGCCGUUCUAAACUACAGAACUAGAGGAUGGUAGAGGGAGGUGGAAUUCCAGGUGUAGCGGUGGAAUGCGCAGAUAUCUGGAGGAACACCAGUGGCGAAGGCGGCCUCCUGGACCAUUCCUGACACUCAGACGCGAAAGCUAGGGUAGCAAACG
Molecule: ribosomal RNA, 403 nt
Filed under: uncultured prokaryote
Description: bacterial SSU rRNA
Rfam family: Bacterial small subunit ribosomal RNA
Source: RNAcentral